AGGGCUUGUGUGUUUCAAUGUUUUAACUACUAUUUUACGUUAAUCAUAAUAAAUGAAUAAUAAAACACAAAUUAUUAGUUAGCAAACAUUAUAAUUGUUCCUACAUGUAUAAUGCAAUGACAUAUUGUUAAAUUAUUACUGAAUUUAAACUUCUGCUUAAAGCUACGGGAGGUGGAAUCGUGAUCAUAUUCUUUUAGAUAAGUCAGUAAACGUCAUUGGUGAAUACUGCGCGCUGUCAUAAAAUCAAAAAAAUAUUUUUUAAAAUAUUACCCAGAUUCCAAACGUCACUUUAAAUUUCGUAUUUCAUAUUAUCAAAGUCGCAAUGGUCUAAUCACAAAUAGUAAUUAUGGCUUUGGCCAGGCGCGCCUUCUGCAGUUCCCCGCAUUGCAGCACAUCACAAAAAACAAUGCAAUUCGAGGUCACACAUUUUUCCAACUUUGUGCAUAUUCCUUACUAUGAUGUCCCCAAAGGUCAUGUUUGUACAUAUUCUCCAGACAAUACCAGCGAUACAGCAUUAUUAUUACCUCGACCUCGGGCUAGAAGAAAUCCUCUUGAUUGGGGCUCAGACGCAACAAUGUGCCGAAAAUUUAGAUCUCAAUCGAUGGAUCGAAUUCCACGAAAAUUGAAGACAAAAAAGAACCAUUGUUAUUCAUCUCGUUCCACAAACACAGAUACUGAUCCUUUCAUGUCAUGUCCUCCGCGCAAAUAUGACCAUAACCGCCAGUUAACUCAUUACAGACAAAAGAAAAAGCCGAUCAUGAAUGGCAUUUCUACCGUUUCUUGUUCUACAAACACUAUCAAUGAAGAAGAUGGAAUCAUGACAGAAAGUGCUCGAAGACUAUUUGAGAAAAAAUCAGGAAUGGGAGAUUCGAAGAGUUCUAGUUCAAUCGGCGAACAUGAGUAUUUACAAUUUCUGUUAAGAGUUACCGAAGAUAUAAUAAUAAACAAUUACAUUUUAAAUGAAGAUAUUGAUAGAGUAUUCAAUCAACAUAUCGAGAUGAAUAAACAUGUGUUAGAUGAGAAAAAAAUGAGAGAACACUUGAUAAAUUUGGCUUUAGACCUAAAUCUAUCUGGUGAUCAAGCCACUUCUCCUAAAGAUACUUCACUCCAAAUAUCGACUUCCGAAAUAAACAUACAAUACCUUAAUACAUCGUGCCAAUGCGAAACGCCAGUUAGUCCUGUAGAGAGUUUAUUUGGAGCUGUGAUAGAACAAGAGAAAGAGUCCAUUGAAAACAUAGAAGAAGAAGUUUAUUACAAACAUAGUUUAGGUAGGGUUACAGAGUGCACAGAACCGUCAAAUUCAUCAGCUACUAUAGUGGGUAAAACGACUAAUACAAAUGUUCUUAGUUUUAAUGAAAUUGAUAAUUUAAAUCAUGAUGCCAAAUCCGAAAUAGUUGGAAGUAACGAAGAGAUUGACAAAGUUUUUUUAGAUCUUCACUUUCAAGAACCACUAAGUGACAUCGCAUUAAGUGAUAAAAGUAGUCUAGAAGACAGUCUCAAUGAUAUACCUGAUGAAUCUGCCAAAACGUAUAGUAUCGAGAAAGUCAGAGUUAUCGGUAUUCCAGAUGAACUCAGGUACAAAAAUUAUCCUAUAAAAGUUGAUUGUGGUACAGAGACCGCCAUAGCAAACUUCCAAAUGGAUGUUACGGUUCAAGUCAAUUUACCGCCCAAUAAGGUUACAGAACAAUCGUGUCAAACUACUACUAGCAUAAUGCUAGAUAAACCAGAUUUGAUAACUAAAGGUACGCAGAGUACUUCCCUAGUCUGCAACAAAAAAUGUGAUACUGAAGAUCUAAACGAAUAUAUCGCAGAAACCACCCCGGAAAAGAAACAAGACCAGAGCACGAUUAUUCCAGAAGACGAAGUACUUUCUCUAACCAAUCGUAGUGAAGUGGAAGUGGAAGGGGGAAUGAAUACAUACUUAGAUCUAAAACUUAUGGGAGAUGAUUACGAUCUGACACCAGAAAGGGAUACAUCUGAAAAGUAUCAUUUUUUAAUGACAGACGCGUCUACUAGUAUGGUAAAAUCCCAAGUUGCUGUAGCAACUAAUGUCGGAAUAGACAGUUUACUUCUAGGAGAUGCUUAUGAUUUGCACGAGGAUUCAGCUCUACAGGUAAAAGUUUAGUUAAAUUAUCAAAUUAUAUGUUUUAGAUAUUUGAGAAUAGUACCAUAAUUUUUUUGUAAAAUGAGAUCAUAUUCUAAUAUCAUCAAUUGGCAAGUUAGUGAUAGAUACGACUUCUGAAGUAUAUUUUGAUAAUAUAUCGAUGUGAUACCGAAAUUGUCAAAAUAAACAAUUCAUUUAUGGCCUUACUUAUUGGCACUAGAUGGACAAAACUUAUAUUGAGCAUCAAAAUACUAAUACGGAGUAUCCGUGACAUAGAAGACUCCACCGCGUACUUACGCACUAAAAUUCCUUUUUACGAAGAUGACAUAUCAGCAAGUAUAAGCCAGUCUUGUAGUAUGACGGAAUCACCAGGUUGGAUUUCGGACAAACCUGGCUUACAGUAUCCAG
Molecule: RNA transcript, 2512 nt
Organism: Diabrotica virgifera virgifera (western corn rootworm)
Lineage: Eukaryota; Metazoa; Arthropoda; Insecta; Coleoptera; Chrysomelidae
Exons: 10
Source: RefSeq, a predicted model, not a curated record